AUCUAACUGUAACUAUGGUAGUUUAUAAGUGUUACCAGACAUUGAUAAGGUUGUAUCUACCAGACAUUGAUAAGGUUGUAUCUACCAGACAUUGACAAGGUUGUAUCUACCAGACAUUGAUAAGGUUGUAUCUACCAGACAUUGAUAAGGUUGUAUCUAACUGUAACUAUGGUAAUUUAUAAGUGUUACCAGACAUUGAUAAGGUUGUAUCUAACUGUAACUAUGGUAAUUUAUAAGUGUUACCAGACAUUGAUAAGGUUGUAUCUAACUGUAACUAUGGUAAUUUAUAAGUGUUACCAGACAUUGAUAAGGUUGUAUCUACCAGACAUUGACAAGGUUGUAUCUACCAGACAUUGAUAAGGUUGUAUCUAACUGUAACUAUGGUAGUUUAUAAGUGUUACCAGACAUUGAUAAGGUUGUAUCUAACUGUAACUAUGGUAAUUUAUAAGUGUUACCAGACAUUGAUAAGGUUUAUCUAACUGUAACUGUGAUAGUUUAUAAGUGUUACCAGACAUUGAUAAGGUUGUAUCUACCAGACAUUGAUAAGGUUGUAUCUACCAGACAUUGAUAAGGUUGUAUCUACCAGACAUUGAUGAGGU
Long non-coding RNA from Pecten maximus, 599 nucleotides. RefSeq lists it as uncharacterized. The transcript has 3 exons. NCBI's taxonomy places the organism in Eukaryota, Metazoa, Mollusca, Bivalvia, Pectinida, Pectinidae. The record is from RefSeq and is a predicted model, not a curated record.